UAGGGAAUCUUCCGCAAUGGGCGAAAGCCUGACGGAGCAACGCCGCGUGAGUGAUGAAGGUCUUCGGAUCGUAAAACUCUGUUAUUAGGGAAGAACAAAUGUGUAAGUAACUAUGCACGUCUUGACGGUACCUAAUCAGAAAGCCACGGCUAACUACGUGCCAGCAGCCGCGGUAAUACGUAGGUGGCAAGCGUUAUCCGGAAUUAUUGGGCGUAAAGCGCGCGUAGGCGGUUUUUUAAGUCUGAUGUGAAAGCCCACGGCUCAACCGUGGAGGGUCAUUGGAAACUGGAAAACUUGAGUGCAGAAGAGGAAAGUGGAAUUCCAUGUGUAGCGGGGAAAUGCGCAGAGAUAUGGAGGAAAACCAGUGGCGAAGGCGACUUUCUGGUCUGUACUGACGCUGAUGUGCGAAAGCGUGGGGAUCAAACAGG
Molecule: ribosomal RNA, 428 nt
Filed under: Actinomycetes bacterium
Lineage: Bacteria; Bacillati; Actinomycetota; Actinomycetes
Description: Actinobacteria bacterium partial 16S ribosomal RNA
Rfam family: Bacterial small subunit ribosomal RNA
Source: RNAcentral